RNAcentral lists this ribosomal RNA (364 nucleotides) under uncultured bacterium. Its description in RNAcentral is "bacterial SSU rRNA". It matches the Rfam family "Bacterial small subunit ribosomal RNA", at positions 28 to 407 of the family's 1533-position model. The record is from RNAcentral.
GAUAAACGCUGGCGGCGUGCCUUAAGCAUGCAAGUCGAACGAGCCCGCAAGGGCUAGUGGCGGACGGGUGAGUAACACGUAAGUGACCUGCCCGAGAGUGGGGAAUAACUCAUCGAAAGGUGAGCUAAUACCGCAUACGUUCAGCAAUCCAUUUUGUUGAAUAAAGCCGUAAGGCGCUUUCGGAGGGCUUGCGCCGAUUAGCUUGUUGGUGGGGUAAUGGCCUACCAAGGCGACGANCGGUAGCUGGUCUGAGAGGAUGGUCAGCCACACUGGGACUGAGAACGGCCCAGACCUCCUACGGGAGGCAGCAGCUAGGAAUUUUGCGCAAUGGGCGAAAGCCUGACGCAGCAGCGCCGCGUGGGGA